UGACGAGCGGCGGACGGGUGCGUAACACGUAGGAAUCUGCCCGGUAGUGGGGGAUAGCCCGGAGAAAUUCGGAUUAAUACCGCAUACGCCCUAAGGGGGAAAGCAGGGGAUCGGUUCGCCGACCUUGCGCUAUCGGAUGAGCCUGCGUCGGAUUAGCUAGUUGGUGGGGUAAAGGCCCACCAAGGCGACGAUCCGUAGCUGGUCUGAGAGGAUGAUCAGCCACACUGGGACUGAGACACGGCCCAGACUCCUACGGGAGGCAGCAGUGGGGAAUAUUGCACAAUGGGCGAAAGCCUGAUGCAGCCAUGCCGCGUGUGUGAAGAAGGCCCUAGGGUUGUAAAGCACUUUCAGUGGGGAGGAAAGGUUGAAGGUUAAUACCCUUCAGCUGUGACGUUACCCACAGAAGAAGCACCGGCUAACUCCGUGCCAGCAGCCGCGGUAAUACGGAGGGUGCGAGCGUUAAUCGGAAUUACUGGGCGUAAAGCGUGCGUAGGCGGCUUUUUAAGUUGGAUGUGAAAGCCCCGGGCUUAACCUGGGAACUGCAUCCAAAACUGGAAGGCUUGAGUGCGAGAGAGGAGUGUGGAAUUUCCUGUGUAGCGGUGAAAUGCGUAGAUAU
Molecule: ribosomal RNA, 616 nt
Filed under: uncultured bacterium
Lineage: Bacteria
Description: bacterial SSU rRNA
Rfam family: Bacterial small subunit ribosomal RNA
Source: RNAcentral